AGGGUAUGAAUGUAGUGCAGAGUAAAUGCAGUACAAAUGCAGGAAAAAUUAAUAUGCAGAUUGAUCUGCACUUUAUUUCCAAUCAACAUUAAAAAUGCAGAAGAAAUUAUAAUAUUAAAAAAUUAAGAAAACUGCAUGCAGGAGAAUUCAUGUGAUAAAAAACUGAUCUGCAAGCAAUUGGAAUAAGUGGGCUGGUCGAACACAGGAGCCCAAUGAAGUGUUGUCUUUCAUUUUUUUUUUUUUUGACAACUACUUUUUCUCCUUUAGUUAUCAAUAUUUCAUAUUACUUUAUUUCUUUCCUUCACAAAUUAAAAUUCAUCUUUAAGUAUAAGUUUUUUGUUUUGUUUUUUAUAAAGAAUUUAAGAUGAAUUUUCUUAUACAAAUAAUUAAAAUGACAUACUAUAUAUAUAAAAUAAUAUUAUUAAAUUUGACAAACACUUAUAUAUAUAUAUAUAUAUACAUAUUAAAAAUAGGGGUGAACACAUAUCGGAUAUCCGGAUGAUCC
This 505-nucleotide long non-coding RNA is filed under the name Brassica rapa (field mustard). RNAcentral describes it as "long non-coding RNA (BRAP_LNC003788)". The record is from RNAcentral. Lineage: Eukaryota; Viridiplantae; Streptophyta; Magnoliopsida; Brassicales; Brassicaceae.